ACAACACCAUAACCAAGCCAAGCUCGGCUUGUUAUUCAAUAUUCACCAGAGUACCACUCUCUCACAAUCCCUAGUUUUCGCAUUCUCUGCAACAUUUUCCAUCAGGAGACUUUGGCUAUACAAUGUAUUAAGGAGCUUUGAAGAAGACCAAGUCCCCUGGAAGAAGCCUUGGCAUUCAUUGAGCUAAAAUGAGAGACAGCACAGUGCUAAAUUUUCACCAAAAGAAUGGCAGAGUAGUAGAAGCAGGUGCACCUUCAGUGGAGACAGAUUUGGCUUCUUCAAUAAAAGCAGCUACUGAAGUUCCUCCCUCUUCUUUUGAGUUCUAUGUCUGGUCAGAUGCGGGAAUUAAUCUUCAUGUUGAUUUAAAUUUGUCCCCGUCAGAUUGGACUAACAGGUUUAGAAAUGAGGUUCGCAUUAGUGAGUAUGUGCAUGGAGACAAAUCCGGAAACCUUUUGCAGGAUCUCAGUGGCCUAGGAGAGAAUUCUACCCAAGGUAAAUCAUCCUUUUUGUGUAGUACAAGUUCUGGUCAACUUAAUGAUCAUGAUGGACCGGCCAAAUUUUCCUCAAGCUUGAAAUUGACAAAUGAUGGUGUGACAGAAUUGGAUCAACAGAAUAAAGUGGACAGUUGUUUGAUACGUAAUUCAUUCACUCCAUGCAGCAUGACUAAAAAAGUAGCAGAUAAUUUACAGGAAAACCAUUCAGCUGUCUCGGCUGAACUGAAUGUAAAUGCGGUAGACAAUUUAAUACAAGACCGAUCAACGGUCUCAGCUGAAGUAAGUUAUGGUGCACUGAACAAUUUUAUUUCUGGUGCUGAAUCUUGUGCUAAAGAUGUGUCUAAGAAAAUCCUUGAUUCAGAUGCAACCAAUAUGCCAUUCAUCAAGUCAUUUUGUGAUUCUGUUGUCAACUCACUGUCAGAUCCUGGCACACUGGAGCUUCCAAAUUCAAAACCUGAUAAUGAAUGUUCUGAGGAUUGUGCUCUUCUAAAUGGUUCUUGCUUUGUUAACCCUGGGGUGGUGUGUGCUGGAGUUUCACUAAGUAGUUCUGUGGAACUACAAAAUUCAGAAGUUAUAAGUUGUCAUAAAUAUGCAUCAGUUUCACUCUGUGACAAUGAUGGAUCCCUGGAUUUAAGUGAUCCAAAGAGCACUUUUGACAUGGAACAGGAUGAACUAGUCAAUCCAACUGAGAUUAAUUUUGAAACCAAUGGUAACAAUUUCACAUCACUAACUGAAGAAUGGGUAUAGUGCUUUCUCUAGCCUUCGAGAUGAGGUGGGCAAGAUUGUUGAUGGGAGGGAGAGUUCAGAAUGCUCCCAAUUUGAUGAUCCACUUAAGAAAUCUAGCUUAGAUUCUAAUGAUCAGGAUUCUAAAAUCGAGCUUCAUAAAAAGAGGAAAAACAGAGACUCCAAGAUUCAUGGUUCAACUGGUGAACCUACUACAAGAGUUUUACGAAGCAUGAAGAAUACUGCUGCGAUGGUCCUGCCUAGAAGAUCCACGAGGCUAAUCUCCAAGUGAGUUCGUGGAGUGCUUUGUGCAUCAUUUGGGAUGAUUAGUUCCAGAUUUUUCAAUGAAAUUAUAAUCCACUGUUCCAAGGUGGAAGAAUGGCAUUUAUUAGGUAU
Molecule: RNA transcript, 1613 nt
Organism: Abrus precatorius (Indian licorice)
Lineage: Eukaryota; Viridiplantae; Streptophyta; Magnoliopsida; Fabales; Fabaceae
Exons: 5
Source: RefSeq, a predicted model, not a curated record